CUGCAGCCAGUUAAGCUGACUGGCUUCCUUUCCUCAUGGGGGCCCAGUGUGCAAUGGCUGCAAACAGCAGCUUCCUUGGUAGUGUAAUGCAGCCUCUUUCUUGUAUGGGUUGCUCUAAGGGACCUUGGAGACAAGU
This 136-nucleotide small nucleolar RNA is filed under the name Sapajus apella (tufted capuchin). RNAcentral's name for it is "Cebus apella (Tufted capuchin) Small nucleolar RNA SNORA70". It matches the Rfam family "Small nucleolar RNA SNORA70". From Rfam's summary of the family: snoRNA U70 seems to be exclusive to mammals and is a member of the H/ACA class of snoRNA which contain H (ANANNA) and ACA box motifs. H/ACA box snoRNAs are involved in the conversion of uridines to pseudouridines (5-ribosyluracil) a constituent of structural RNAs (transfer, ribosomal, small nuclear, and small nucleolar). The record is from Rfam by way of RNAcentral. Lineage: Eukaryota; Metazoa; Chordata; Mammalia; Primates; Cebidae. RNAcentral also lists the same sequence under 1 other name.